UUAGUUCUAUGGUUAAGUGCUUGGCUGCUAACCAAAAGGUUGGUGGUUCAAACCCACCA
This 59-nucleotide transfer RNA is filed under the name Loxodonta africana (African savanna elephant). It matches the Rfam family "tRNA", at positions 7 to 64 of the family's 71-position model. From Rfam's summary of the family: Transfer RNA (tRNA) molecules are approximately 80 nucleotides in length. Lineage: Eukaryota; Metazoa; Chordata; Mammalia; Proboscidea; Elephantidae. The record is from Rfam by way of RNAcentral.